This 98-nucleotide transfer RNA is filed under the name Sodaliphilus pleomorphus. RNAcentral describes it as "Bacteroidales bacterium Oil-RF-744-WCA-WT-10 tRNA-Arg". The record is from RNAcentral. Lineage: Bacteria; Pseudomonadati; Bacteroidota; Bacteroidia; Bacteroidales; Muribaculaceae.
GGCGGCGUACAACCAAGAGGUUAAGGUCUCGGGCGCGACCAUACGUCCGACGCGGUUCUUUUACCGCUUCGCAGGUUCGACUCCUGUCGCCGCCUCCA